UACAGGGGGGGCAAGCGUUGUCCGGAAUUACUGGGCGUAAAGGGCCAGUAGGCGGCCAACUAAGUCCGACGUGAAAUCCCCAAGCUUAACUUGGGAACUGCGUCGGAUACUGGAUGGCUUGAAUUCGGGAGAGGGAUGCAGAAUUCCAGGUGUAGCGGUGAAAUGCGUAGAUAUCGGGAGGAACACCUGUGGCGAAAGCGGCUCACUGGACCACUACUGACGCUGAUGCGCGAAAGCUAGGGGAGCAAACAGG
RNAcentral lists this ribosomal RNA (253 nucleotides) under uncultured bacterium. RNAcentral describes it as "partial 16S ribosomal RNA". It matches the Rfam family "Bacterial small subunit ribosomal RNA", at positions 524 to 776 of the family's 1533-position model. The record is from RNAcentral.